This 87-nucleotide transfer RNA is filed under the name Bacillota bacterium. RNAcentral describes it as "tRNA-Tyr". It matches the Rfam family "tRNA". Rfam says of the family: Transfer RNA (tRNA) molecules are approximately 80 nucleotides in length. Their secondary structure includes four short double-helical elements and three loops (D, anti-codon, and T loops). Further hydrogen bonds mediate the characteristic L-shaped molecular structure. tRNAs have two regions of fundamental functional importance: the anti-codon, which is responsible for specific mRNA codon recognition, and the 3' end, to which the tRNAs corresponding amino acid is attached (by aminoacyl-tRNA synthetases). tRNAs cope with the degeneracy of the genetic code in two manners: having more than one tRNA (with a specific anti-codon) for a particular amino acid; and 'wobble' base-pairing, i.e. permitting non-standard base-pairing at the 3rd anti-codon position. The record is from RNAcentral. Lineage: Bacteria; Bacillati; Bacillota.
AGGUGGGCACCAGAGCCGGAGAUCUGGGGCGGUCUGUAAAACCGUUACUCAACAGCUUAGUGGGUUCGACUCCCACCCCGCCUACCA